GGCGGCGUGCCUUAUACAUGCAAGUCGAGCGGAGAUUGGCUCUUUUUCAGGUAGCCUUCGGGCUAUUUUGAAUUAGAGUCGUUCUUAGCGGCGAACGGGUGAGUAACGCGUGGGUAAUCUACCCUUGAGAUCGGGAUAACACUUCGAAAGGGGUGCUAAUACCGAAUAACGUCAUUCUACUCAGGUAGAAUGACCAAAGGUUGCGUUUAGCUUCUGCUCAAGGAUGAGCCCGCGUCCCAUCAGCUUGUUGGUAGGGUAAUGGCCUACCAAGGCUAUGACGGGUAGCCGGCCUGAGAGGGUGUUCGGCCACAUUGGGACUGAGACACGGCCCAGACUCCUACGGGAGGCAGCAGUAGGGAAUUUUCCGCAAUGGGCGAAAGCCUGACGGAGCGACGCCGCGUGGGGGAUGAAGGCCUUCGGGUUGUAAACCCCUGUCAGAAGGGACGAUGUCCAUCUUUGGUGGAUGACGGUACCUUCAGAGGAAGCCCCGGCCAAUUACGUGCCAGCAGCCGCGGUAAUACGUAGGGGGCGAGCGUUGUUCGGAAUUACUGGGUGUAAAGCGUGCGUAGGCGGCUAUGCAAGUCACAGGUGAAAGCCCUGCUCCCAAGGUAGGAAUUGCCUGUGAUACUGCACAGCUAGAGGACAAGAUGGGGAAGUGGAACUCUGGGGGUAGCGGUGAAAUGCGUAGAUACCCAGGGGAACGCCAGUAGCGAAAGCGGCUUCCUGGCUUGCUCCUGACGCUGAGGCACGAAAGCUAGGGGAGCGAUCGGGAUUAGAGACCCCGGUAGUCCUAGCCGUAAACGAUGGGGUACUAGGUGUGGGGGGAGCAUUACCCUCCGUGCCGAAGCUAACGCGUUAAGUACCCCACCUGGGGAGUACGGUCGCAAGGCUGAAACUCAAAAGAAUUGACGGGGGGCUGAACAAGCAGUGGAGCGCGUGGUUCAAUUCGAUGCAAAGCGAAGAACCUUACCAGGGUUUGACAUGCUGGUAGUAGCGACCUGAAAAGGAAGCGAUCCGGACUUUUGUUCGGAAGCCAGCACAGGUGGUGCAUGGCUGUCGUCAGCUCGUGCCGUGAGGUGUUGGGUUAAGUCCCUUAACGAGCGUAACCCUUGCCCUUAGUUGCUACCAGGUUCUUUUGAAUGCUGGGCACUCUAAGGGGACCGCCGCCUUAAAGCGGAGGAAGGUGGGGAUGACGUCAAGUCAUCACGCCCCUCAUGUCCUGGGCUACACACGCGCUACAAUGGUCAGUACAACGGGAAGCAACUUCGCGAGGAGGAGCAAAUCCCUUAAAACUGACCUCAGUUCGGAUUGCAGGUUGCAACUCAUCUGCAUGAAGCUGGAAUUGCUAGUAAUCGCGGAUCAGCUACGCCGCGGUGAAUACGUUCUCAGCCCUUGUACACACCGCCCGUCACACCACCCGAGUUGAAUGCACCCGAAGAUACUUGACUAACCGGCUUGCCGGAGGGAGAGUAUCCAAGGUGUGUUUGGCAAGGGGGAUGAAGUCGUAACAAGGUA
Molecule: ribosomal RNA, 1515 nt
Filed under: uncultured bacterium
Lineage: Bacteria
Description: bacterial SSU rRNA
Rfam family: Bacterial small subunit ribosomal RNA
Source: RNAcentral